Molecule: ribosomal RNA, 696 nt
Filed under: uncultured bacterium
Lineage: Bacteria
Description: bacterial SSU rRNA
Rfam family: Bacterial small subunit ribosomal RNA
Source: RNAcentral
AACGCUAGCUACAGGCUUAACACAUGCAAGUCGAGGGGAAACGACAUCGAAAGCUUGCUUUUGAUGGGCGUCGACCGGCGCACGGGUGAGUAGCGCGUAUCCAACCUGCCCACCACUUGGGGAUAACCUUGCGAAAGUAAGACUAAUACCCAAUGAUAUCUCUAGAAGACAUCUGAAAGAGAUUAAAGAUUUAUCGGUGAUGGAUGGGGAUGCGUCUGAUUAGCUUGUUGGCGGGGUAACGGCCCACCAAGGCGACGAUCAGUAGGGGUUCUGAGAGGAAGGUCCCCCACAUUGGAACUGAGACACGGUCCAAACUCCUACGGGAGGCAGCAGUGAGGAAUAUUGGUCAAUGGACGAGAGUCUGAACCAGCCAAGUAGCGUGCAGGAUGACGGCCCUAUGGGUUGUAAACUGCUUUUAUAAGGGAAUAAAGUGAGUCUCGUGAGACUUUUUGCAUGUACCUUAUGAAUAAGGACCGGCUAAUUCCGUGCCAGCAGCCGCGGUAAUACGGAAGGUCCGGGCGUUAUCCGGAUUUAUUGGGUUUAAAGGGAGCGUAGGCCGGAGAUUAAGCGUGUUGUGAAAUGUAGACGCUCAACGUCUGCACUGCAGCGCGAACUAGUUUCCUUGAGUACGCACAAAGUGGGCGGAAUUCGUGGUGUAGCGGUGAAAUGCUUAGAUAUCACGAAGAACUCCGAUUG